CUUCCUCACUACUAUCUCGAGAGAAGCAAUCGGCUUGGGAUGAUGUCAUUGGUUCUUUUCUUCUCUUUCCCUCUCGGGAGCUUCCUUUCGGAGUCGACGUGCUUCCUUAUUCACGAGAAUUUCCUCCCUCCGGUGCUGUCUCCUCACUAAGCACUCUUCUUAUCGUUUCAACCUUUCCUCAUAUCUAAUUUGGCCUGAAGUCUUUCUUUAGCCUGAUCAGAUAAUGGUGCU
This 231-nucleotide long non-coding RNA is filed under the name Solanum pimpinellifolium. RNAcentral describes it as "long non-coding RNA (SPIM_LNC000142)". The record is from RNAcentral. Lineage: Eukaryota; Viridiplantae; Streptophyta; Magnoliopsida; Solanales; Solanaceae.